This 265-nucleotide unclassified non-coding RNA is filed under the name Hevea brasiliensis (rubber tree). The record is from RNAcentral. Lineage: Eukaryota; Viridiplantae; Streptophyta; Magnoliopsida; Malpighiales; Euphorbiaceae.
GCAUUUCCAUGCUCCCAUGUGCAAAGACAAGGCAACAUUUUAGAGCCAUUUCCCAGUAGAGGAGCCACACUAACUAAUAAAGUUUACACACUCAAAUUGACUUGUAUAUAUUAAGCUUCAAUUUCAAGUGAUUUAAGAAUAUCAUAAAGGAAAGUAUCAGUUUUUUAAAAACUGACCAGCUCAUUGAGCUUAAAAAGAUUAAAGAUAAAAAUUGGAAGUUCAAAAAAGUUGAACUGGAAUCAACUUGGCAACCUCAACAUGAUGU